CAUUACCGAGUGAGGGCCCUUUGGGUCCAACCUCCCACCCGUGUUUAUUUACCUCGUUGCUUCGGCGGGCCCGCCUUAACUGGCCGCCGGGGGGCUCACGCCCCCGGGCCCGCGCCCGCCGAAGACACCCCCGAACUCUGCCUGAAGAUUGUCGUCUGAGUGAAAAUAUAAAUUAUUUAAAACUUUCAACAACGGAUCUCUUGGUUCCGGCAUCGAUGAAGAACGCAGCGAAAUGCGAUACGUAAUGUGAAUUGCAAAUUCAGUGAAUCAUCGAGUCUUUGAACGCACAUUGCGCCCCCUGGUAUUCCGGGGGGCAUGCCUGUCCGAGCGUCAUUGCUGCCCUCAAGCCCGGCUUGUGUGUUGGGCCCCGUCCUCCGAUUCCGGGGGACGGGCCCGAAAGGCAGCGGCGGCACCGCGUCCGGUCCUCGAGCGUAUGGGGCUUUGUCACCCGCUCUGUAGGCCCGGCCGGCGCUUGCCGAUCAACCCAAAUUUUUAUCCAGGUUGACCUCGGAUCAGGUAGGGAUACCCGCUGAACUUAAGCAUAUCAAUAAGCGGAGGAAA
RNAcentral lists this ribosomal RNA (561 nucleotides) under Penicillium sp. RNAcentral's name for it is "eukaryotic LSU rRNA". The stretch from base 181 to 333 matches the Rfam family "5.8S ribosomal RNA". Lineage: Eukaryota; Fungi; Ascomycota; Eurotiomycetes; Eurotiales; Aspergillaceae. The record is from RNAcentral.